GGGGGAUAACAGUUAGAAAUAGCUGCUAAUACCGCAUAAGCGCACGGUUCCGCAUGGAACAGUGUGAAAAACUCCGGUGGUGUGAGAUGGACCCGCGUCUGAUUAGCCAGUUGGCGGGGUAACGGCCCACCAAAGCGACGAUCAGUAGCCGGCCUGAGAGGGUGAACGGCCACAUUGGGACUGAGACACGGCCCAAACUCCUACGGGAGGCAGCAGUGGGGAAUAUUGCACAAUGGGGGAAACCCUGAUGCAGCGACGCCGCGUGAGUGAAGAAGUAUUUCGGUAUGUAAAGCUCUAUCAGCAGGGAAGAAAGUGAC
This 317-nucleotide ribosomal RNA is filed under the name uncultured bacterium. Its description in RNAcentral is "bacterial SSU rRNA". It matches the Rfam family "Bacterial small subunit ribosomal RNA", at positions 138 to 455 of the family's 1533-position model. The record is from RNAcentral.